RNAcentral lists this long non-coding RNA (826 nucleotides) under Prunus dulcis (almond). RNAcentral describes it as "sRNA ncRNA". The record is from RNAcentral. Lineage: Eukaryota; Viridiplantae; Streptophyta; Magnoliopsida; Rosales; Rosaceae.
CCGCCCUUUACGGAAAUGUACUUAAUUUGCUUCAUAACAACUCUAUAUAAAAGGCCUUGAAAGGUUCACCUAUGAAUCAAGGCAUCUUGAAUCAACAUUCAACAUCCCUCCGUCUAUCUUUCUGUUUCACACGCGUGCACGUACACACACAAAAAUCAAGAUGGAGGGAUCUAGACGUGUGUUUUCAACUGUCUUCAUCCUCGUCCUGCUCCUUGUGGCUAUUGGUAUCUCUCUCUUUCCUCAUUUUAAUUUUAUUUUUAUAUUUGAUUAGUGGUAUAUUUCUUUCCAAUGCUAGAAGAUGUUUCAAGUUUGAAUCCACCUUCUCUCGUUAAUUUUUAUAUAUGAAUGUUUGGCAGGGACGGGUCCAAUGGUUGCUGAGGGCAAGGUCACAACAAAGGUGGAGUCAAGGACUUGUGAGUCUCUGAGCACGAAAUUCAAGGGAUUUUGCUUACGAUCAAGCAGCUGUGCAGAUGCUUGCCAAAAAGAGGGCUUCAUGGGAGGCAAAUGUCCUGGCUUCAGGCUGAGAUGUACAUGCACUAAGAAAUGUUAGUGAUAUAACACACUAACUUAUUUUGGUGCAUGGGAUUGAGAAGAUUGAAAAUUUAUUGCCCUUUUUUUGUUUUGUUUAAAAGAAUAAAUGACUAACCCUAAUAUAAAUUUUGGGGUUGUGUCCUUGUUUUUGUUCUUAUGUUAUUUUGUAAUCAAUUUUUUUUAAAAUAAUAUUGUUCUUUUUUUAAUGUAAUGAUACUUUUUUUUUUCUCUAUACAAAUAUGAUCUUUCUAGCAUUACUUUAAACUUUUUAUCAAUGUAUAAUGUUGAUUAUACU